Molecule: ribosomal RNA, 253 nt
Filed under: uncultured bacterium
Lineage: Bacteria
Description: partial 16S ribosomal RNA
Rfam family: Bacterial small subunit ribosomal RNA
Source: RNAcentral
UACGUAGGGUGCAAGCGUUGUCCGGAAUUAUUGGGCGUAAAGAGCUCGUAGGCGGUCUGUCGCGUCUGCUGUGAAAACUCGGGGCUUAACCCCGGGCCUGCAGUGGGUACGGGCAGACUAGAGUGCGGUAGGGGAGACUGGAAUUCCUGGUGUAGCGGUGGAAUGCGCAGAUAUCAGGAGGAACACCGGUGGCGAAGGCAGCCCCCUGGGCUAACACUGACGCUCAGGCACGAAAGCGUGGGGAGCAAACAGG